This 291-nucleotide ribosomal RNA is filed under the name uncultured bacterium. RNAcentral describes it as "partial 16S ribosomal RNA". It matches the Rfam family "Bacterial small subunit ribosomal RNA", at positions 773 to 1060 of the family's 1533-position model. The record is from RNAcentral.
GUGGAUUAGAUACCCGAGUAGUCCACGCCCUAAACUAUGUCUACUAGUUGUUGGGGGAGUUAAAUCCCUUAGUAACGCAGCUAACGCGAGAAGUAGACCGCCUGGGGAGUACGGUCGCAAGAUUAAAACUCAAAGGAAUUGACGGGGGCCCGCACAAGCGGUGGAUGAUGUGGUUUAAUUCGAUGCAACGCGAAAAACCUUACCUACCCUUGACAUGUCCGGAAUCCUGCAGAGAUGCAGGAGUGCCCGAAAGGGAGCCGGAACACAGGUGCUGCACGGCUGUAGUCAACU